AUUUCACUUAAAGGUCUUUCUGAGCUUCCUCUUAAAAACAAUUUGGUGAGAUUGCUGUGGGUGAGCUUAUGACACCACAAAGCAUCUGCUGGGAGCUUUGGCUCUGCUGUGGCGUGUCGAAGCAGCAUCUGGAAGACUUGUGUAUCUUACUCCUAGGAUACGUCAUCUGGGGGCCCAGCCCGUGCUUACCCAGUUGGUGGCCUGUGUUACUACCUGUCUCCUCCGGAAUCAUUCGGCUCAGUGCUGGAGGACCCUGUCCAUGCGGUCGUGUACAUUGUAUUCAUGCUGGGUUCCUGUGCAUUCUUUUCCAAAACAUGGAUCGAAGUUUCGGGUUCUUCUGCCAAAGAUGUAAGUCUAAGCCCACAUUCCUGCUAGAGAUAAGGGCAGCUGCUGGCAUCCAGGGAGCUCCACUUGUUACCACUGUGCAUAUAGUAUAUGGUAUAAGCCGUCCAUUCUACAGUUGGAUCAUCCCUCUGGGGCAGUGUGGAAGCCCCAAGGGCAACCAGUGGAGAUUAACAGAGUUGGCUCUGACAGCCUGAGGCCAUAGUAGAAAGAGAGACUAUUGUGUGAGUGAGUGU
RNAcentral lists this long non-coding RNA (578 nucleotides) under Rattus norvegicus (Norway rat). RNAcentral describes it as "long non-coding RNA NONRATT021600". The record is from RNAcentral. Lineage: Eukaryota; Metazoa; Chordata; Mammalia; Rodentia; Muridae.